CAUAAUUAUUUGAUCAAAAUCAGCUGUAAAACCCAUGUCAUAAUAUACAUGUAGGUACAGCACAUAUAAAGUCAAACAAGGUGGAAAAUACAUAUCAUGAUAUUAUGUCAGACAAGGUACCUGAUGGCAUCAACGUAACUCAUUAUGUCCCUCUCUCCAUUGACGUAUUGUUCUUUGAGGCGUAACAUGCGUUCGUCAAUGCGUACAUAUGUGGCUCUCCUCGGGUUUGGUCGGUCAGUAAGGGACGGUUCAUAUUCCUACGUCUGUGGGGAGGUUAGCAAUACAUUUGAAUAGGCGAAACAGGAAUAGGCGGAACAGGAAUAGGCGAAACAGGAAUACACCUCUGAACUCAGGUCAACUGUCAGGUUGAAGUCUGGUAUGCUCUCCUCGGCAUCAAGGUGGACAAGUUCGAGAAGAAGUGCUGCUGGGUCAGUGAUCACUUGCCGCCAUACCCGUGCUACGAGGAGCCUUGGUCAUGGCGAGAUUCUUGAUUACGUGUUUUGAAGCCGUCACGUAGAUUACGAUCACAUAUGAAGGGGUCCCAGCCAAAACAACCUACCGUAAGUCAAUUUUCCAACUUUUCAGGAGAGGCCAAAGCAUACCUGACUUCCUUCAUAUUUCCAUUUAAAUUCCUGACUCAAUUCAAUUCAAUUCAACUUUAUUCUCCAAGACUAUAUACAUAGUAUGAGGACUUCAAAAUAGUCACUGUUGCAACCCUGUGAUAUUGGUAUCAAAAUGUGGAGAAUUAAGUCAACUUUCUCAGUCUGCACUCAUAUCAAAACAGCCUAAGUCUGACUUAGGUUGUUACCACCGGGACCCCAUCAUCUGAUGGUUUCCUUUGGUACAGCCUCGGGGAAGGUUGGUGACUUUCGAAGACAGAGCGUUCUCGAUUAUUGCAGCGAGGUUGUGUGGUACGCAUGACCACUCCAAGUCGGGCAAGUCCCGAGCAUGGGCCAACGUCUCUUUUUUCGUGAGGCAUUCCUUGCUCGCUAUUUACAUCUGAUCAUUUAAGGUGUCGCAGAUCAUUUUUGUCAUGUGUAUGCAGUUCGGCACCAAAAUCACUACAUUUUGAUUUUGAUAUAAUUAUUUGCUUUACGAGAGUGAAAAAUGCUCGAAGACAUUAUUAAGGCCAAUUAAAAGAAUUACCAAAAGUUCACCUACAUACCUAAAAGGAAACUAUUUGUUUCAAAGAGGAAAAUUCUAGUCAAACGAAUAAUCUCUUGUAGUGAGUGUGAUUUCCUGACAACCGAGUCGGCAUUUUACUUUUGUAAUGAGGGUAUGGUUGAGUUUGUUAUAUCCAUCCUGUCGCAGUACAAUGGGAUGCUUUUAUAUAAGUUGCAGUAUGCAUGCAACUGGCGGUUUGUAUACAGCUCGCACUAAUGUAACUCCAUGCGGUAUUUAUAUUGUACUUAGAGUAUGGACAAUGUAGUUCACCUGUUUUUCGGAAAUAUCUUUUGAUUUUUUUUCUUGUCCAAAUAAAAGGUCACUACUGCUGUACAAUUGAAUAGUCAUUUUCAUUAUCAUUUUGCAAAUAAAACAAUUGGACAGGCGUCCGCGUUGGCGUUUCGGGGACAUUGCGAAAACUCUUAGAAUAUCCCAGAAAUAAAAGGACAAAUGACCACAAAAACACCGUUUCUCAAAAAAACUAGCGAUUUAUACCAAAUAAAUCUGACGGGGGACAAAACUGCAAACAAAUUUAGCAAGGCUAUGAAAAAUAAUAAGGCCUGUAGUGAAAGAUUUCAAGGAGAAAAUCACUAUAUAACAAUUCGAACUUAAUAGUGUGUUUGGUAACCAUUGAGGGUUUCCAGGGACGCAGAUUGAUAGCCUCAAUUUGGUACACUUAUCUGAUUGGUUCUGGUCACCCAAGGUGUGGACCCUGGAAGUUCCAAAUGUGUCUUACGUUGUUUCUUAUUGGCCAAUGUAUUCCUCUGUGCACGCUAUAAGACCCAGCGCUUCAGUUGAGAAGUCACUUUAGAAUACUUUGACAAUUACAGCAACAACCUAAAACGACAUUUGAACUUCAUCUCAUUCCUUGAAUCUUUUAGGCGCCCAGAAACUAGUCCCCCACCCCCAUAUUACCUGCACUGAAAUAGCAUUUGUGACGAUUUUUUUAGGAUCUAUUUUGAGUAUCACCACGCGUGAGCAAGAUGCGGAUGACUGUGUACAGCAUUGGAAAAUGAGUAUUGGCUGUCGAUGCUCCUCAGGUCUGUUCUAAUAUCAGGCACGUGACGGGCGAAUGUGAAGCCACCAUCGUUGCUGCCUUUGAGUGGUAAACAGACAAAGUGUUACCAUAGCAACUGUUGCAAAAUGGCAAGGCAAAGAACCGGAGCAUUCCCAGAUGGCAAAAUUUAUGGCCCCAUAUGGCUAAUGUACGGGCAAGUGUGGGCAGCCAUAUGGGUACUCAUGUGGGCAAUUAAUGUGGGUCCCAAGUGGGCAAAUGUGGGCCCCACCUUUCCCCACCCAGACCCCACGUGGAAUAUGCACCCGGGUGUUCGGAUGGGGACCAUGUGGGCAAACCGGGCAUGUAAGUUUUACAUGGGUUCUAUAUGGACUUCCUUUUGGGUUCAUUGAAUGGCAUUUUCUUAUAAUAUAAUUUUCAUAUAAUAUUGUGUACAUUGGUCUUUAUCUAGAGCUCAUUUAUUCUCUUCAGUUUUACAGUGUAGGCCUAACCUCCAGCACGUUGUACUGCUUCUGAAUAAAAAUCCCCUAACUGUUGAAGUUCUCACCAGCAACUCCUGGGUGAGAUGAGUUGGACACUCUCCUCUCCACAGGGUGUAAGGGGUAAAUAUCUAGAGUGACCCUUGAUGUCUUCAUUGGCAUACCACCACUAGCAACUUGUGAAAAGUAUAGAAUCUGAUGUUUCUGUGAUGUUUUAUGCCCAUGGUUUGCAUUAAUUGAUUUUGAGCAUAAGUUUUACAACGUAUAUACAUAUGUUGAACAUUAUUAGUUGACUUGAACAAUCAGCCCAAGUUGCCCAUGUGAUAUCCAAUGUGGGAUCCACAUGCAUGUGACACAUGGCAGUGAGCUCAGAUCUGCCUACUUCGUCCCUAUAUGAAACCAUAUGCAAAAUGUGCCUAUAUUUGCCUAUACGUAACCCACAUUGGACCUGGGUGUCCUCGGGGUAACUGAGACACAGCAGAAAAAGCUUCAAAACCUAUUCAUUGAUUCCAUUUAGAUUAUGCGGUCCAUACGGUUGAAAAGAAAACACUUCAAGAGGUGCUUUUGAAAGCGAAUUCUAUUAUGUUCAAGAUUUGACAUCCACUCUGCAUUGAAUAAACUAGCAUAUACCCAUGGAGCGGGCAAAGUUGAAAUGUAAUAUACAUUAGUUAAAUGGGCACGAUGAUUGAGCUACAUUAAAUUUCUAACGUUACUGAAGUUUUAUUAAAGGUUAAACACGAAAUUAACUGCAUUUAGGGACUUAUUGCUGAUGCUAUCUACAUGCAACCCCCAAUAGAUUGAUUGGAGUACGCUAUUUUGCACAAUGCAUUGAGACCAGUGACAGCAGGUCCUGUUCCAAAUAAGACCCUCACAUAUUAGGCAUAUCACCUACCCACUCCCGUACCCAAUGCCACUGUCGGACCAAAGCCAGGCGCAUGGAGAGAUGCAGAACGCAAUUCAAACUGACAACAUCAGUCAGUAAAGAAUAAAACAAAGAGCAAGCGCUGGCCACUGUACAUAUUUUGUCCAUCCUGGCAUAACUGUUUAUUGAUACCCUGACUGCAUG
This is an RNA transcript of Lineus longissimus, 3724 nucleotides long. RefSeq lists it as uncharacterized. The transcript is spliced from 3 exons. Lineage: Eukaryota; Metazoa; Nemertea; Pilidiophora; Heteronemertea; Lineidae. The record is from RefSeq and is a predicted model, not a curated record.